This 18-nucleotide small RNA is filed under the name Arabidopsis thaliana (thale cress). RNAcentral's name for it is "Ath_wt_01536". The record is from RNAcentral. Lineage: Eukaryota; Viridiplantae; Streptophyta; Magnoliopsida; Brassicales; Brassicaceae.
GCAAGUGAAAUACCACUA